GGCAUCCUGUGUGCAUGGUAUACUAGUCCAUGUUUAGUAUUGCAGUCUGCCUGCGUUUUGCUGGUAGAGUGUUGUGCUCACACGCAGCCUGCAGCCGCAGAGAAACAGGAGUUCAUAGUACUGGUCUAGUGACAUCUCAAGGAUGACAUCUACCACUGAUCAGCCUCCGUACACUCCUACAAGA
This is a small nucleolar RNA of Protopterus annectens (West African lungfish), 184 nucleotides long. RefSeq annotates it as small nucleolar RNA SNORA23. The record is from RefSeq and is a predicted model, not a curated record. The transcript has a single exon. Lineage: Eukaryota; Metazoa; Chordata; Ceratodontiformes; Protopteridae.